RNAcentral lists this ribosomal RNA (468 nucleotides) under uncultured bacterium. RNAcentral describes it as "partial 16S ribosomal RNA". It matches the Rfam family "Bacterial small subunit ribosomal RNA", at positions 28 to 507 of the family's 1533-position model. The record is from RNAcentral.
GACGAACGCUGGCGGCGUGCUUAGCACAUGCAAGUCGAACGGAAAGGCCCUGCUUUUGUGGGGUGCUCGAGUGGCGAACGGGUGAGUAACACGUGAGUAACCUGCCCUUGACUUUGGGAUAACUUCAGGAAACUGGGGCUAAUACCGGCUAGGAGCUCCUGCUGCAUGGUGGGGGUUGGAAAGUUUCGGCGGUUGGGGAUGGACUCGCGGCUUAUCAGCUUGUUGGUGGGGUAGUGGCUUACCAAGGCUUUGACGGGUAGCCGGCCUGAGAGGGUGACCGGCCACAUUGGGACUGAGAUACGGCCCAGACUCCUACGGGAGGCAGCAGUGGGGAAUAUUGCACAAUGGGCGGAAGCCUGAUGCAGCAACGCCGCGUGCGGGAUGACGGCCUUCGGGUUGUAAACCGCUUUCGCCUGUGACGAAGCGUGAGUGACGGUAAUGGGUAAAGAAGCACCGGCUAACUACGUG